GAGGUGCAACCAUGGCAGGAGGGAAGAAAGAGCUGCUCAAAGAGGAAGAAAGAGGAAAGGGGUCUGUGGGUAGUGGCCAAACAAGGGGUGAGCCUUUGCCAUCCGCUAGGCAAGCAAGCAAAAGGGAGAAGGGUAAAAGAAGAGGGAGCAAAUAGGCUUGGGGUUAUCGACGAUAUGGUGGCUCGAUGUUCGAGCUUGAUGAGUAGUGGGUCUUUAUGAAUGGUGGGAUUUAGAGUUACAUAAGCUUUAUCGAUUGUUGGAUUUAGACUCACAAUAGUCGGAGAGCGGCCUCUCCUCUCUUGUUGUCCUUUGUCCUCUCUCAAGGUGAUUGCUUCGGUGGUAUAGAUGG
This 349-nucleotide long non-coding RNA is filed under the name Elaeis guineensis (African oil palm). RNAcentral's name for it is "long non-coding RNA (EGUI_LNC014603)". Lineage: Eukaryota; Viridiplantae; Streptophyta; Magnoliopsida; Arecales; Arecaceae. The record is from RNAcentral.